This 935-nucleotide ribosomal RNA is filed under the name uncultured Alteromonas sp. Its description in RNAcentral is "bacterial SSU rRNA". It matches the Rfam family "Bacterial small subunit ribosomal RNA", at positions 68 to 1000 of the family's 1533-position model. The record is from RNAcentral. Lineage: Bacteria; Pseudomonadati; Pseudomonadota; Gammaproteobacteria; Alteromonadales; Alteromonadaceae.
GGUAACAUUUCUAGCUUGCUAGAAGAUGACGAGUGGCGGACGGGUGAGUAAUGCUUGGGAACUUGCCUUUGCGAGGGGGAUAACAGUUGGAAACGACUGCUAAUACCGCAUAAUGUCUUCGGACCAAACGGGGCUUCGGCUCCGGCGCAAAGAGAGGCCCAAGUGAGAUUAGCUAGUUGGUAGGGUAACGGCUUACCAAGGCGACGAUCUCUAGCUGUUCUGAGAGGAAGAUCAGCCACACUGGGACUGAGACACGGCCCAGACUCCUACGGGAGGCAGCAGUGGGGAAUAUUGCACAAUGGGGGAAACCCUGAUGCAGCCAUGCCGCGUGUGUGAAGAAGGCCUUCGGGUUGUAAAGCACUUUCAGUUGUGAGGAAAAGUUAGUAGUUAAUACCUGCUAGCCGUGACGUUAACAACAGAAGAAGCACCGGCUAACUCCGUGCCAGCAGCCGCGGUAAUACGGAGGGUGCGAGCGUUAAUCGGAAUUACUGGGCGUAAAGCGCACGCAGGCGGUUUGUUAAGCUAGAUGUGAAAGCCCCGGGCUCAACCUGGGAUGGUCAUUUAGAACUGGCAGACUAGAGUCUUGGAGAGGGGAGUGGAAUUCCAGGUGUAGCGGUGAAAUGCGUAGAUAUCUGGAGGAACAUCAGUGGCGAAGGCGACUCCCUGGCCAAAGACUGACGCUCAUGUGCGAAAGUGUGGGUAGCGAACAGGAUUAGAUACCCUGGUAGUCCACACCGUAAACGCUGUCUACUAGCUGUGUGUGUCUUUAAGACGUGCGUAGCGAAGCUAACGCGCUAAGUAGACCGCCUGGGGAGUACGGCCGCAAGGUUAAAACUCAAAUGAAUUGACGGGGGCCCGCACAAGCGGUGGAGCAUGUGGUUUAAUUCGAUGCAACGCGAAGAACCUUACCUACACUUGACAUGCAGAGAACUUUC